This 252-nucleotide ribosomal RNA is filed under the name uncultured bacterium. RNAcentral's name for it is "partial 16S ribosomal RNA". It matches the Rfam family "Bacterial small subunit ribosomal RNA", at positions 524 to 776 of the family's 1533-position model. The record is from RNAcentral.
GACAGAGGUGCCGAGCGUUAGGCGGAAUCACUGGGCUUAAAGCGUGUGUAGGUGGAUGCCUAAGUACCUUGUGAAAUCCCACGGCUUAACCGUGGAACUGCUUGGUAUACUGGGUGUCUUGAGCCAGCUAGGGGCUACCGGAACAAAUGGUGGAGGCGGUGAAAUGCGUAGAUAUCAUUUGGAACGCCAAUGGUGAAAACAGGUAGCUGGGGCUGUGCUGACACUGAGACGAAAGCCAGGGGAGCGAACGGG